This 442-nucleotide long non-coding RNA is filed under the name Cyanistes caeruleus (blue tit). RNAcentral describes it as "lncRNA (ENSCCEG00000023734.1)". Lineage: Eukaryota; Metazoa; Chordata; Aves; Passeriformes; Paridae. The record is from RNAcentral.
CAGCUUAAAAUAGAGGGCAAGGGCUAAAAUAUAACUUUUGUGGCUGAUAAUUGUCAGACUACCCACAUUUGUUUUCCACAGUUUCACAGGGAUGACUUCCUAGGGAUUAGUUAAGGAUAUCUGAUUAUUUUACUUUUUUUUCCUUCUAGAAUUUCACGAACCUACAGGAUGGGUGUCAUGAGUGAAAGCCAAGUUGCUGUUAACUAUAUCUUAAGCAUCAUCUUACUGGGAACAUGUUUAACCUGCCAAAAGCUCUUCUGAACUCUGACUGCAAACCAUUCCAAAGUCCGAAUUUCUCAUGCAAACGCCGUAUGACCUCAGGAUGAAUUUUAUGCCAAUGAAAUGCUCACCAUGCCAUGCCAUGUCAUUUGUUCCAUGGAAUCACAAGUGUUCCUCAGCCCAGCAGUGCUCCAUGCACCUAGAAACUUCCCUCUCUGAGUGA